ACGAACGCUGGCGGCGUGCUUCACACAUGCAAGUCGCACGGAAAGGCUCCAGCUUGCUGGAGUACUCGAGUGGCGAACGGGUGAGUAACACGUGGGUAAUCUGCCCUGCACUCUGGGAUAAGCCUGGGAAACUGGGUCUAAUACUGGAUAUGACCUUUCUCCUUAUGGGGGUUGGUGGAAAGUUUUUCGGUGUAGGAUGAGCCCGCGGCCUAUCAGCUUGUUGGUGGGGUGAUGGCCUACCAAGGCGACGACGGGUAGCCGGCCUGAGAGGGUGAUCGGCCACAUUGGGACUGAGAUACGGCCCAGACUCCUACGGGAGGCAGCAGUGGGGAAUAUUGCACAAUGGGCGGAAGCCUGAUGCAGCGACGCCGCGUGAGGGAUGACGGCCUUCGGGUUGUAAACCUCUUUCAGCAGGGACGAAGCGUAAGUGACGGUACCUGCAGAAGAAGCACCGGCUAACUAUGUG
Molecule: ribosomal RNA, 466 nt
Filed under: uncultured bacterium
Lineage: Bacteria
Description: partial 16S ribosomal RNA
Rfam family: Bacterial small subunit ribosomal RNA
Source: RNAcentral